CACGCUGAGGCUGCCGGCCUCCCUCCUCCGCCCUGCCCGGGCUUGUGCUCCUCUUUCCCCUGUGCUGAGCCACCGGGUCGCCUCCGCUAGGCAGCGGUGUAUCCACCUCGGCUCCCGUAGGCUCUCACCUGAGGCAUGCGGAUGUAGCAGAAGGGGAGGCCAUCCCCGCGGAACCACCAAAGGCGUGAAGGAGCCCCAGCACUUUCAGUCACUGUCAGCUCCACGCCUGAGAAAGCACAGGAGCAGCCCAAUGGCUGGGAUCACGUUUUGCUUCUUCAGCAUGAUGCCUGUGUACCAAAGCAGCAAGUCUCACAGCUGCAAGGACAGUUCCCAUCAGAGCCCAGCCUACAGGGGUGAGAAGACUAAAGUUAUGAUGCGGUUGCUGCAAAAUGAACUAUGUUCAAUGUCUGUGGGACUAGGAAAAGCAUCAAUGGACUCAAGAAACAGCAAGGAAGAUUUUUUUUUUUAAGAUGCAAGGUAAGUUCUGACAGUCUGAAAAGUUUAUAUAAUGAAGUAUAUGGCAUAGAGAAGUUACGGGAUCUUCACCAUAAAGUGCUGUAAAAAACAAUUAUAUGAAAAACAGUUGGGAAUAGUUCAGUUGGAGCUGAGACUAUCUUAGGGUGAGGGGUAAACCAGCUGAUUUUCCCAGGUCCCUUCUAACAGUAUUCCACUGACUCCUACAGCAAACCUCUGUAGCCAGGAGCCUACACCACAGGCUUGGGAGCGGACGUAACACUGAGAAGGCUUUGACAGGUUCUUGCACUUCUGACCAGAACAAAGCCCAGCACUCCCACACAUCUACUCAAGAUUGUAUCUUGCUGUCUGAGGCAUCAGUAUGAUGAAGAUAAAAUGUUUUUCUGUUUGCUGCUACUGCCAUAGCAAUCAGCAAAUUGAUUCUAGCAGAAUGCAUGUUCCCCUGGAGUUACAUUUUACGCUAUCAAGUUUUAUGUGUAGUAUUGUGUUCUCUUCCCUUCGUCAUGGUUUGAGCCAUCCAGAGUUACAUGCAAGGGAGAUUCACACACACACACCACCCACCCAUUUGAAACAACAAAUUUAAUACUCUGGCUUCUCAGGUGCAACCAGCUUCUGUGUAGUUUCAUAAAAGGCUCACUUAACUAUUACUCUACAUUGAAUGUAAAGCUCAUUUUUCCUUCUAAAAAUUUGUAUUCUGCAACAACAUUUUCACUAUUUCCAUCAAGUGGCAUAAAAGGUAUUAGUAAAUUAAAAUACAUUUUUAAAAAGGAGGUAUAUGUGGCCAGGUAAAAUAAAAUACUGUUUUCUUGGAGCAGUACAACUCAUUGACAAAAAAAAAAAAAUCUGUAUGUUGGAAGUGCCGAGUAUCUUGUGAAGCCUUUGAAGACAUAAAAAUAGAGGACUUCACAAGUUGAGUAACUAAGAAGCUGGCUGUAGACAAAAAUACUUUGGAAAUUAAUAAGAGUAAUUACCAAUUUCAUUAAAUGUCAGUUCUGGCUCAGUUUUAAACCCUAGCUUGCCUCAGUUUUGCAAAAGGUUUUUAUAGAUUACAGCACUACCCACUCUACAGACUGUAAGCCCUAGAAAAAGCAGGUGUAAAAAGUAAAUCGCAGUAUAAGGUUGUUGACAAAUGAAUUUGUAAAAAGAACAGUUUACACCAGAAAGAUCAAAGUCAGAGCCUUUAUUAAAUGUUCCUUCUUUAAACAGAC
Tyto alba (common barn owl) is the source of this 1682-nucleotide long non-coding RNA. RefSeq lists it as uncharacterized. The transcript has 2 exons. The record is from RefSeq and is a predicted model, not a curated record. Lineage: Eukaryota; Metazoa; Chordata; Aves; Strigiformes; Tytonidae.